This 1622-nucleotide long non-coding RNA is filed under the name Nicotiana tabacum (common tobacco). RNAcentral's name for it is "long non-coding RNA (NTAB_LNC006346)". The record is from RNAcentral. Lineage: Eukaryota; Viridiplantae; Streptophyta; Magnoliopsida; Solanales; Solanaceae.
CCAAAAUCCCCGUCGCCGCCGCCCCGCUCCUCACUGCCGCCGCGGCUCCACUGCAUCACCACCGCCAAAAUACCUCGAACCCCCAUCUUAGCUAUUUUUUGGCCCAAAGACACUCGUUUCUUUUGGCGAGAUGAUGAAACUCAUUUCGUUCUAGCAUCUACCUGAAAGAAACGUGCGUUUUGGAGUCGGGCAGUCGCCCUUUAGCAUCUCCGGCAUCUUCUCGUGGUCAAACAGCUUCAAGCAUACUUGUUAGGUAUAAUCGUCAUCUCUUUAAUUAAUUUCUAAUUUUUUAUAUUAGUAGAUUAGUUUCUGAUUUUUGAUUUUUCUGUUUUGGUUGUUUCUUGUUAAUUAGAGUUUCAAGUUAGGUUUAUUUAAUUAGUUAUCUCUGUUUAGUUUAGUGGUUUGUUAGAUUUGUUAUUGAUUUAAACAUGAUCUUUAAUGUAUUAGUUAAAUCGUUCACUUAAUUAGUCGAUUAUUUAGUUGUUGUUAGUUGUUGUCCGAUUGUUAACGAUGCUCAUUCUGUUUUGAGCAUUAGUUUGUGAAUUUAGUUAUUUGUUUAGUAAUUAGUUUGCACAAAUCGAAUUCAUUCCCAUCAAGUUGGUUUGAAUACUUAGUUCAAUUACGUUUUUAGUCUCGUCUAUGCUUUGUCAGUUCAUAGUUGUCCAAGUUUGAUUUGUGUUGAGCAAGUAGUUUAUUGUUGAUGGUUAAAAUCUGAAAUUUAGUUUAUUUUAUCACAAAAUAGGGUAAUAGUAGCUUUACUACUAGGGCGGCUGAAAGGACAUUUUUUCUCCUUGCUUUUGACACAGCAGGUUGUCCUUUCACCUUUGGGACAGACCUUGAACAGUGUUUAGCACACAAAAUCAGUCUUUUGGACAGAUUUUUCGUGAACCAAAAUCUGUCCAAAAAGGAACACACACUGAUCACAUAUUUGUUGGACAGUCUUUGCACCCUAAAAAUAUAACUUGGAGAGUAAAAAAUCAGCAACUAAAGUACCAUUUAGUAAGUUGAAAUGGGGAGCUUUGUGAGUAAAUUUUAGAGUGCAAACUUUUAGAAAAGUAUAAGUCUUCUUUAGAGCUGGUUAUGGGUUUCUUCUAAGGUUUUCGGGCUAUUUAAAAACAAAAUUGCUGUUGUUUUCUGCCUGUGUUUGCUGCUGUUUUUGUUUUCCUGCUGAGCUCUAUUUCUUCAUUGCUGUAUUUAUUUUCUGCAAUCCAGGUAUUUUCUUAAACUUUACAAUGCAGAUUUUUAUAUUCAAUGGAUGAGGAUAUGACUCUUUUUCAGCUCUAUGGAUACGCUUGAUGUGCUUUACUGGAAUAAAUGAAUGUUUAGCAUGUUAUUCAUAUAGUCAUAUUUCAACAUGUACAUCUGUAAUAUUUGGUUGAUCCUCCAUUUUUCUAUACAUGUGUAGCUCAAAUAACAUUAUGUUAAGUGUAUCUAGUUAAGGAAAAAAAUAUCUUUUAUAAUUAUUAUGUAGAGUUUAGUUUCCUUUGCCUUGGUUUUAUGUAUUUUGUGGUUUUGUUAUUUUAAUUUUUCUCUUAGUGCUAAAAAUAACUGAUAGUAAUACUUCUCUUCUUGGUUAAGUUGAAAUGAAGUUGGGGAAUAGUAUGUGAUGAGUGUGCGGAGAG